RNAcentral lists this ribosomal RNA (216 nucleotides) under Glomeromycotina sp. Its description in RNAcentral is "partial small subunit ribosomal RNA". The stretch from base 40 to 216 matches the Rfam family "Eukaryotic small subunit ribosomal RNA", at positions 686 to 864 of the family's 1831-position model. Lineage: Eukaryota; Fungi; Glomeromycota. The record is from RNAcentral.
GGGUCAGUAGGUUGGUCGUGCCACCGGUACGUACUGGUCUCACUGAUUCCUCCUUCCUGAAGAACCGUAAUGCCAUUAAUUUGGUGUUGCGGGGAAGCAGGACUGUUACUUUGAAAAAAUUAGAGUGUUUAAAGCAAGCUAACGCUUGAAUACAUUAGCAUGGAAUAAUGAAACAGGACGAUCGAUCCUAUUUUGUUGGUUUCUAGGAUUGACGUA